UCUCCUGGAAACGGGUGGUAAUGCCGGAUGUUCCAGUUGAUCGCAUGGUCUUCUGGGAAAGCUUUCGCGGUAUGGGAUGGGGUCGCGUCCUAUCAGCUUGACGGCGGGGUAACGGCCCACCGUGGCUUCGACGGGUAGCCGGCCUGAGAGGGCGACCGGCCACAUUGGGACUGAGAUACGGCCCAGACUCCUACGGGAGGCAGCAGUGGGGAAUAUUGCACAAUGGGCGCAAGCCUGAUGCAGCGACGCCGCGUGAGGGAUGGAGGCCUUCGGGUUGUAAACCUCUUUUAUCGGGGAGCAAGCGUGAGUGAGUUUACCCGUUGAAUAAGCACCGGCUAACUACGUGCCAGCAGCCGCGGUAAUACGUAGGGUGCAAGCGUUAUCCGGAAUUAUUGGGCGUAAAGGGCUCGUAGGCGGUUCGUCGCGUCCGGUGUGAAAGUCCAUCGCUUAACGGUGGAUCCGCGCCGGGUACGGGCGGGCUUGAGUGCGGUAGGGGAGACUGGAAUUCCCGGUGUAACGGUGGAAUGUGUAGAUAUCGGGAAGAACACCA
RNAcentral lists this ribosomal RNA (550 nucleotides) under Bifidobacterium longum subsp. infantis. RNAcentral describes it as "bacterial SSU rRNA". It matches the Rfam family "Bacterial small subunit ribosomal RNA", at positions 146 to 711 of the family's 1533-position model. The record is from RNAcentral. Lineage: Bacteria; Bacillati; Actinomycetota; Actinomycetes; Bifidobacteriales; Bifidobacteriaceae. RNAcentral also lists the same sequence under 1 other name.